This is a small nuclear RNA of 189 nucleotides. It matches the Rfam family "U2 spliceosomal RNA". From Rfam's summary of the family: U2 is a small nuclear RNA (snRNA) component of the spliceosome (involved in pre-mRNA splicing). Complementary binding between U2 snRNA (in an area lying towards the 5' end but 3' to hairpin I) and the branchpoint sequence (BPS) of the intron results the bulging out of an unpaired adenosine, on the BPS, which initiates a nucleophilic attack at the intronic 5' splice site, thus starting the first of two transesterification reactions that mediate splicing. The record is from Rfam.
UACUCUUCUUGGCCUUUUGGCUUAGAUCAAGUGUAGUAUCUGUUCUGUAACCAGGAAGACUGGUUACCUUCGCCUACUGGGCGAAGUUUUGUCUUCCGAUUAUUUCUGGACUUGCCAGUGGUAAGGAGCUUGCUCCUCCCGGCUAGGUGUCCUUGGGCUUACACUACCCUCAAGCGAUGCCGAAACCCC